AGCAGCCGCGGUAAUUCCAGCUCCAAUAGCGUAUAUUAAAGUUGCUGCAGUUAAAAGCUCGUAGUUGAAUUUCGGGACUAAUAUGUCGGUCGUGCCUCGGUACGUACUGGUUUAUUGGUUUCUCCUUUCUGAAGAACCAUGAUGUCAUUUAUUUGGUGUCGUGGGGAAUCAGGACUGUUACUUUGAAAAAUUAGAGUGUUUAAAGCAGGCUCACGCUUGAAUACAUUAGCAUGGAAUAAUGAAAUAGGACGUUUGAUUCUAUUUUGUUGGUUUCUAGGAUCGACGUAAUGAUUAAUAGGGAUAGUUGGGGGCAUUAGUAUUCAAUUGUCAGAGGUGAAAUUCUUGGAUUUAUUGAAGACUAACUACUGCGAAAGCAUUUGCCAAGGAUGUUUUCAUUAAUCAAGAACGAAAGUUAGGGAUCGAAGACGAUCAGAUACCGUCGUAGUCUUAACCAUAAACUAUGCCGACUAGGGAUCGGAUGAUGUUAAUUUUUAAUGACUCAUUCGGCGCCUUAACC
RNAcentral lists this unclassified non-coding RNA (517 nucleotides) under uncultured Glomus. Its description in RNAcentral is "SSU rRNA". It matches the Rfam family "Eukaryotic small subunit ribosomal RNA", at positions 569 to 1093 of the family's 1831-position model. The record is from RNAcentral. Lineage: Eukaryota; Fungi; Glomeromycota; Glomeromycetes; Glomerales; Glomeraceae.